AGUUGACUCCGUCCACUCGACUAGUGCAGACGUUCUUUAAAUAACCUCGUGCUCUGUUUAAUUAUUAUACAAUUGGUGUGCAUGACACGUCGCCUGAGGACUAGACCCUGUUUAUUUGACGAAACUAUUUUAGGCACGUUUAAAAACUGGUCGAUCGUUGCUACGAAACUGCAGGUGUCAAAAUUCCUGGAUUUAAUAACAAAAUUCCUGAGGUUAAUAACAAAAUUCCUGAGUUUAAUAGCAAACUUCCUGAGUUUAAUAACAAAAUUCUUGACUUUAAUCACAAUAUUUGUGAGCUUAAUGGUAUUCGUGAAAUUUAAACAUAUUACAUCGUAUAUAAUAAUUACAAUAAAAAUUUGUAUUAUUCUUGCGGAAAGUGAAUUUUAUCUUUAAAUAGAAAUAAAAAAUAAAAGGAAUAAACUAGUUAAAAAUUUAUAACGAUAAUUUUACAUGUGGUAUUUUCUUGCUUUCUAAAUUUCAGUAUCAUAUCAGUGAACCGAUUAUUUAUAAUCAAGGUGUCAAAGUUAUAAACAAGGUGAAAUUAUUUUUAAACAUUUCGAUUGUAUCAUACGUUACUUAUCGAUUAUCGGAACAUCAGUACCCAGACUUAACAGUUAAGCGAAAAAUUUCGAAAACGCGUUUAUAAAAUAAUGAAACAAUGAAAUGUUAAUUAAUUAAACAUUAUUAUUUUCUAAUUUGUAAGAAUGUGGCAAUGCAGGAAAAUCAAUUGCAUAUGUAUAUUUAGCACAAAACGGAAGAAAUUUUGACCUACUUAUUUUUCAAACUAUCUUCAAAUUAGAUAAUGGAUUCUAAUAUAUUUUAUUCAACUGGUGUAAAUUCGUUUCUUCGUUAGUAAUAUUUAAUCUCAUUUUGUAAAAUGAUGGAGGAUUACUAUAUGAUGAUACAAUCGUACCUCGAUUUUAGCGGCUGAGGGAACAGAUCAAUAAAUCCGUACUCUUCGAAGGAUACUAGAUGGCUCUUGCACCCUCUCUGCGGGGAUAGUCCUGCACCCCUAUUUCAGGUAAACUCGACGGCGAUAUUUCUUCAAUCUGCACAGUCGUGCCGCAUCCACCGCCGGUUGCGUACCUAUCUCGCGCUCUUCAAAAUACUUCGUAUACGCAUCUCUUUCCGAUAAAAGUUCUUAAAAGUUGUAUUCAAAAUUAAAUGUGAUAGAAACGUGUUACGAAUUUUGUCGCGUAAUCGCAAUAAAUAAAAUAAAAGAAGAAAAGAAGCUCUAAAGUAAAUUAAUAAAAAGAAAAGACAAAAAGAAAACAAAAAACGAUCGUGUAAACGACAAAUAAUCGAAGAAAUUAUUAUCAACGAAGUGUUCCCUAAAACUUUGUCAUGAGAUAGGAAAUAAUUUUAUUUUUAGUCGUUUUUAUAUUUUCUCCCGACUCUGAUAUUGUCUAAGCACGUGUGUCGUUAAGUUUCAUAAAUUUUUUAUUUUUCUGUUACCGCUCAUUUAUUUAUGGACGACGGUACUUACUAAGUCUCGUUAACACGCACAGUUUUCCCACGAGAAACGAAAGAACAACAUGAUUUUUACGAAAUUUAAGCGCAAAUUAAAUAUUUCGCAACUUUACAACGAAUAACUAACGCUCUGAGAUUCGUGUGGAUUAUUUUGUUAAAGUGACGUAUGUUUUACGGAGAGUCUUAUUAUUGGACGAUAUCAUAAAAAGCUAUUUAACGAGAAUGUGUCAAGAAAGUUUCGUGGGAUUUAGGUUGAAAAAUAUAAUUUAAUCCGCGUGAAUGGUGAUAGUUGUGUGGAAAGUGCGAACAAUUUAUCCAAAAUAUCUGAAUAUUUUACCGAAAGUUUCCACGUAAUGUUUCUUUAAGUAUGAUAUCCAUCUUUUGUAACGCAAGAGCGAUCAAGAAAACGUGACCCAGAAAAGUGUGAGAUCGAACGCAAGUUACUUGAUAUUCUGAUGUUUAAUGUGCCCAUUAAAUCAAAGUUCCUUACUAACAAAAGAGGAAAGGAAAAAGAGAUCGAAGUUGACAGAUUUUAUUUAACAGGAAGAUCUUCGAAAUUUUAUAUCGACGGUCCAUUGAAUAAUUCUUUACGCGCUGGAUUAUCGAUUAACUAACACGCAUAUGAGGAAAUUACAAUAAAGUAUUACAAAUUCUAAUCAUUGUUUAAAACAUCGUUUAUUGUGUGAAAGAAUGACGUGAUAGAAUGUUAAAUUUGGAUGUGAAUGCGCUCGAGUUCGGUAUAAGGAUACACGCAUUUAGGUGUCUUCGUGCUAUCAUGAUAUCGAAAUCAAAGAUGCAUCAACCAUAUUCAUCAGGGACAUAUUUGUCAAACGAGAGUUGCAGCAAUUAGCAGCCGUUGGACGACCAAUCAUGAAUCGAUCUAUCUGCAUCAGUUACGCCUUAUGAGCUUUAAUCCGGUAAAAGGAAGGGCGGGUGAUCGUUAAACCCUCUCGAUAUCAGCGCGUGAGGACCAAGAUCGACAGCUGGCGGAAAGAAAAUCAUACUUGAUCCCUCAAAGACACGACGUAAGAAUUUACUAAAAUUCCAUUAAUCGCAAGGAAUUUUGGGGUAAAUUCGUAUAUCAGAUACACGCCAUCGAAUAGAUUUUUCUACAAGAUUAGAGAAUGACUUCUAGAAAUACAGAGUAUUAAGUUUUUUAACUGCAGUGUUUACUAACGUGAUACAUUUACUGUCAUAGGUAAGAUAAAUAACAGCUUUCAUAUCGAUCUUCUUUUAAACUAAGAUGAAACUGAAGUAUAGGAGAAAAUUGAAUUAAAACUUGCAACAAGGCCAUUUGUUAUAAUAUGAACGAAAGUGAUUAGAAACUCCGAGAUACAGUUUCAAGAUCUGCUAUGAUAUAACUUCAACGAUCUGUGGAUGUGAUACACGAUGUUUCAAGAGAUGGAGACUUUGGACAGAAUAGCCAGAAAUUUUUCAAACAGCUCGUACAACGAAACUCAGAAACUCUUCGAUGAAUAUAAUUUCGAUCGACAUCAAGUGGAGAGAAUAGUAGUUGUUGUGGUGCCGAUAUUUUUUGGUAUGAUUGGUAUCCUUGGACUCAUUGGGAACUCUUUGGUCGUUAUCGUGGUUGCCGCGAAUCCUGGAAUGAGAUCAACCACGAAUAUCCUAAUUAUCAAUCUAGCCGUGGCGGAUCUAUUGUUCGUCAUUUUUUGUAUACCAUUUACCGCAACCGAUUUUGUGCUACCUUACUGGCCCUUCGGCAACUUCUGGUGCAAGAUGGUUCAAUAUCUCAUCAUCGUCACUGCCUACGCCAGUGUUUACACCUUAGUCCUCAUGAGCCUCGAUAGAUACUUGGCAGUGGUUCAUCCCAUUUCCUCCAUGUCAUGGAGGACCGAAAACCACGCAAUCGUCGCCAUCUGUAUCGCUUGGGCGAUGAUUUUCGCAAUAUCCACUCCUGCAUUCAUCGUCCACGGCGAGGACAUAGAUGACUUGUUGUCGGAGAACUUGACGGCUUGUCGAAUCCUACCGCAAUAUAGUUGGCCGUUAUUCCAAUUGUCGUUCUUCCUGAUGAGCUAUCUGCUGCCACUGACGCUGAUAUGUUUCUUUUACAUUUGCAUGCUCAUCAGACUCUGGCGCACUGAUCGCGUCAGCGCCGAAAGUCGACGCGGAAGAAAGCGAGUUACGAGGCUAGUCUUCGUCGUCGUUGGCGUUUUCGCCUUUUGUUGGUGUCCUAUACAGGUAAUCCUAGUGACAAAAGCAUUGGAUGUGUACCGAUUGACAUCAGCGACAAUAAUGGUGCAAAUAGCGAGUCAUAUUCUGGCGUAUACGAACAGCUGCGUCAAUCCUAUUCUUUACGCUUUCCUCAGUGACAGCUUUCGGAAAGCUUUUCGAAAAAUUAUUUACUGCAGACCUCGACCAGAUCAAGCCAGACAACUGGGACCAUUGACGAAGACUACGAGAGCUGCCAGUACUGGUGACAUCCUUUAGGUAUUACGACUCAGCGUAGGAAAAUGGUUUGAAAUCAAUUUCGAUCCAUUGGAUGUUUUCAUUAAUAAGAUCAGAGAACAAAGCGAAGGAGUGAAAGGUACAUAGAAGAGAUUAAGCGUGAUCAUAUUUUAGCCCUUGGUCAUUAAUCUCGUGAACAGCGUAAGAUACAUUCUUACCUAGUUCCAUUUUUUAGAGUGAAAUUUCUCGAUAUAAUAAAACUUACAGUUGAUGAAAUUGAAGAAGAAAAGGAAACAUGAGAAGCCUGUUCAUCGUGACAUUGCUUGAGUAUAAUCGCGACGUAAAUUUUUCAUAAAUUUUGUUGCGCAUUUGUAGAACAUAUCCGUUGAUAGUCGUAACAUCUGUGAAGCUGUAAACAGAAGGAAGCCAGAAGAAAAUUAUAUUUCAUACACGUUUUUGCCCGAGCUUUUGCUAUGUAUGCGUUUAAAUUAUCGGAGAAUAUUACGGAGUAUGCGCGUACAUGCUCUAUAAAGCGUAUAAUUCGCUAAAAAGAUCCAGGUAAACUCUCUCUUCGACUCGCAGUAGUCGAAAUGAACAAUUUGCAAUUUUUCAAAGAGAAUUUUAUAGAUUUACAACAGCACACUCUUGGCGAUCGGAACAAGAUUACCGAAUAAUGAAAAUAUUGCAAAGUAGAUUAGUCAUAGGAUUACGUAGAUUUUUGCCUCUUGUUUUAAAAUGUCUUCGAAAUACUGUGCCGAUUGGUAAUGGUUAUUUCGUUAUCGAAACAAUCUCAAUAUCUCUCGAUGGGACCAUUCUUCUUGCACUGGUAAGAAAAUGUUUCUGUAUACGGUUGCGCAAUCAGUUGGUGUAAUAUUACUAUGGAGAACUGUUUCGAGAGCUUUCUGGUUGGUAGCCUGAAAAUUCGUAACGUGUAGAAGUAAUUUGAUCGUUGGGAAUCAAAACAUUCACAAGAUGUAUAAAUAAUUCAACCACGUUUGAUUUUAUAAGAACGGGCUAGAUACGAAAUUGUUGGAAAAAUAAAAUAUAACAAAUAAAAUACAAGUGGUCUAUGAUGACCGAUGAAAAAUAUUUCCAGUUCUUGAAAACGAACAUUUGUGAUAUUUUUUCGAUCCGUAUAUGUGGUGUUAUAGUGAUGUUACGGGAAAUACGAUAUUGGUUUUUUACAGUUCACUAGUCUGUAGGAGUUUUUACCCAACGAAAAAUUAUUUCCACGCCAGAUUUUGCAAGACUGCAUGUCGAAACUCGAUUACAUUAUAGAAGCAAUGGAACGUGUAUAUACUAAUGAGGUGGGCAUGUACUUAUCAAUGAUAAAUCAUAUUUCCGUAGAUGAAUGAAUGGCCUAUAAUUCACAUACUUGUGGUGUCACGCAAACGUCAUUUCCUAGUAUCAAUACAGUCUGCUACUGUACACCUUUGGCUUUAUGUAGAUACUGAUUUAUCUUAUAGCUAUGUAUUAUCAGUUUUACCAACCUAUGUCGCUGUCAAGCUCCAUGGGCAUCGUAUAUCACUCGAAUUCAGCUUGCAAAUGCGAAUUACAAAGCAAGAGGUGUCAAGCGAUUCUACAAUUUCCUACAGUUUCAUAAUAGAAAUAAUUAAUAUUAAAUUAAACUUUUACUAAAAUAAUUUCCUACAAUUUCAUGAUAGACAUAAUUAAUAUUAAAUUAAAUUUUUAUUAAAAUAAUUAAUAUCAAAUAAUACAUCAUAUAGAAAAAACUUUGUUUCUAAAUAUUCCAAAUUUAUAUGAAAAUAUUUUGAGAACAAGGCUUAAUGAAUUUUUGUUUUGAUAUUUCUUCCUCUACGCAAAUAAAUUUGUCUUUAGCAUAAAUGUAACGAGCGAGUAAUAAAAGGUAGCCUCGCUUUCCAGAGUGGAAUAGUCUCGAAUUACUUAUAGUUCCUUCCUGAGCGUUAUGAGACUUCAUCUGUGAAAGCGUCUUUGUUUGGAGCAAAUAGAGUCGGUGGAAAGGGAACGCACCGAGGUGGUCGUGAUCGUAAAAAGAGUACACGAAUUCACAUGGAAUUAACGUCGAAUGGGGAAAACUAGGGUGACGCUUAAUGGAAAGUACUUGUACUUAGGUUGCCCAUACAAUGAGUCAUCGACGACACCUAAAAAUAGAUUAAGACGUUCAACUUGCCUUUCCAAUUUCCGGAUAACAUUGUUUCUGUAUUUAAGUUACUUUCCUGGAGUCCUUGAUUAAAAGUUUCGCGACAAAUAAAAUCUCUAUUAACCAAUCCCUUCUGUAACUUUAAAUACUACGAUUAGAGAGCUCUAAAUGACGACCGACUAAGAAUAAUUAAAACAGAUUACUCGAUGGGCAAUUUGGAAUAAAAAUAUUUCCCAUUUUCUUCAUAACCGAUAAUUUAAAAAUCUUUCCAUUCCUAAACUACUUUACCGAUUAAUUCCUUCCAAACAUGCGUAACAAAGUCAUCCAUAGAAAACUUUAUACAUUUAUCAUAGACAAUUAACCUAGACAACAUGACAUAUUGUCACGAGGAUCGUAAAGAUGCUCCCCUCGUUGGGAUUAAGAACCGCUGGACACCUCACAAACGAUUCUUCCCCUAUCCGUCUUUACGGACACGUAUUUCUUCGAAAUUGAUAUGAAAUACGUUAUCAAAGUGUCUUAGUCGAUGGCCCUACAUCACUCAUAAAUCCAUCGCCAUCCAAUAUUAAUUAAAGAAAUGUUUAGAGUUUGGCCACGAAUAACGCGACGUUCUCAUACCAUCCGACCGAAAUUCUCGCAAUGUUUCCACGUUAUAAUUCUGGGUUAGGAGGCUUACCAAAGUAGGCCGAGCUGUGAAACCGGUGGAAACUUCACUCGUGAAGUAAAAGAGGGCUGCCAUUCUCUUUUUGCCUCCUCAUCUCUGUCAUAUCGUACGCUUGCCUCCACUUUUCUUUUUUCUUUUUUUUUUGGUAUCUUUAGCUCUCUUUUCUCUUGGCUUGUCUUUCUUGCACUUUCCCGUCAUCGAUCUGUGUACCCAUCAUCGAGUCUGUCCACUUUCGUCGUCGCUUACGAACUACUUUACUGAACACGUCUGCGAAGAUGGUCGCUUAAAAAUUUCACAAUCGUUUCCCUUUUCUUAUCGAAACUGAAGGUACUGGAUAUUCGUAGUACUCGCGGCUCUCCUUCGAUCCUUAUUCCUGCUAAUGGAUACAUUAUGCAGAUUAAAUUGCUUUAUGAUAUCUUUAUGAUUUUUAUACCAAAUAGAAUGGACUGCGUUGUGCAACGGAGUAAAAGGCAAUCGCCUAUGCAAAAAUUAACGAAGAGCGCGGAAUAACAAUUUUUAGCAGUAUAUAUGGCAGAAGAUUUGCAAAGUUAACUUUCACAUAGUUCAUUUACAAGUGGCAGGACAUAUUUUUAUUUUGAGAAGCAAUCACUCUUCUAUUAGAUUCAACAAUACUCGCAGUUGUAGCAAUUUUAUUAAUUUCCUUGCUUCUUGUUGUUGUAUUAUUACUGUUUCAGGUUACAAAUAUUUCGACGUCGGAUUCGUCGUUCUGUAACAAGCACUAAUUGCGCCGAUUUUACAUCGAAAUUAAAGGAUAUCGCCGGUAUUCGAUAUUCGAUGUUACACAGUAUAGUUAUCAUGUGAACUGGAACGUGCAUUCGUGUCGUUUAAGCGUGACGUCCGUUUUGCGAAACAAUUACAACAGCGACGUAUCUUUAAUCUUUCUAAUUAACAAGCUCGAUGACUGUGUCGAUCGCGUGACGUUGCUCGAUUUUUGGAGCAAUCCUAUCGUAUCGAAUGUUCCAUGGAUUCGUAAUUAAGCAUGUUUUUUUUUUCUCGUGUGCUGAUGGUAAUAAACGUUUUAUAUAGACGUAAACGGCGUGCGGAUUUUACGCUUACACUGUGAACAAACUUUGUACAUAGUAACGCUUGUAAGGUAAUAACGAGAGUACGAGUAUAAAUAGUAACGUUAAGUGAUGAAUAGGUUCGACGAUAGUUACUAAUCUAGAUUUAGAGAACAAAGAGGCAGCUUAUCGUUUGUUUUAUAAAGAAGAAUCCAAAAAGAAAGGAACGAAAGAGCUUAACGACGCGGCAGAUAGAAAGAUGUUGAUAUUUAAAUUAUUAUAAAACUUUUAAGUUACGUAAUUUCGGGAGGAAGCUUCACUGAAGAUUCGCGGAUCGUGGUAGAUAAGCCCCUGCCCAUCCGCGAGCCAAGCGCGCAAAGAAAUACACAUUUUGAAAGUAACUUAAACGACGAUAUAAGAUUUUCCUUUCUUUUCCAGCUGAUCGUUGUAGAUUUUAAGAAUUCUAGGUUUAAGAACACUCGAGAUUUCGUGAAGAAUUGUCCUGAUACAAAUUGUAAAGUACAUAUAUCAAUAAAGGUGCUCAUGUAAUACAAAGAA
Molecule: RNA transcript, 8239 nt
Organism: Bombus pyrosoma
Lineage: Eukaryota; Metazoa; Arthropoda; Insecta; Hymenoptera; Apidae
Gene: AstA-R1
Gene name: allatostatin-A receptor
Exons: 7
Source: RefSeq, a predicted model, not a curated record